RNAcentral lists this ribosomal RNA (893 nucleotides) under uncultured bacterium. Its description in RNAcentral is "bacterial SSU rRNA". It matches the Rfam family "Bacterial small subunit ribosomal RNA", at positions 60 to 984 of the family's 1533-position model. The record is from RNAcentral.
AGUCGACGAUGAAUCUUCUAGCUUGCUAGAAGUGGAUUAGUGGCGCACGGGUGAGUAAUGCAUAGGUUAUGUGCCCUUUAGUCUGGGAUAGCCACUGGAAACGGUGAUUAAUACUGGAUACUCCCUACGGGGGAAAGUUUUUCGCUAAAGGAUCAGCCUAUGUCCUAUCAGCUUGUUGGUGAGGUAAUGGCUCACCAAGGCUAUGACGGGUAUCCGGCCUGAGAGGGUGAUCGGACACACUGGAACUGAGACACGGUCCAGACUCCUACGGGAGGCAGCAGUAGGGAAUAUUGCUCAAUGGGGGAAACCCUGAAGCAGCAACGCCGCGUGGAGGAUGAAGGUUUUAGGAUUGUAAACUCCUUUUGUUAGAGAAGAUUAUGACGGUAUCUAACGAAUAAGCACCGGCUAACUCCGUGCCAGCAGCCGCGGUAAUACGGAGGGUGCAAGCGUUACUCGGAAUCACUGGGCGUAAAGAGUGCGUAGGCGGGGUAAUAAGUCAGAUGUGAAAUCCUGUAGCUUAACUACAGAACUGCAUUUGAAACUGUUACUCUGGAGUGUGGGAGAGGUAGGUGGAAUUCUUGGUGUAGGGGUAAAAUCCGUAGAGAUCAAGAGGAAUACUCAUUGCGAAGGCGACCUGCUGGAACACUACUGACGCUGAUGCACGAAAGCGUGGGGAGCAAACAGGAUUAGAUACCCUGGUAGUCCACGCCCUAAACGAUGGAUGCUAGUUGUUGCCUUGCUUGUCAGGGCAGUAAUGCAGCUAACGCAUUAAGCAUCCCGCCUGGGGAGUACGGUCGCAAGAUUAAAACUCAAAGGAAUAGACGGGGACCCGCACAAGCGGUGGAGCAUGUGGUUUAAUUCGAAGAUACGCGAAGAACCUUACCUAGGCUUGA